CGGGAAACCGGAGCUAAUACGGAUAAUAUAUUGAACCGCAUGGUUCAAUAGUGAAAGACGGUUUUGCUGUCACUUAUAGAUGGAUCCGCGCCGCAUUAGCUAGUUGGUAAGGUAACGGCUUACCAAGGCAACGAUGCGUAGCCGACCUGAGAGGGUGAUCGGCCACACUGGAACUGAGACACGGUCCAGACUCCUACGGGAGGCAGCAGCU
Molecule: ribosomal RNA, 211 nt
Filed under: uncultured Staphylococcus sp.
Lineage: Bacteria; Bacillati; Bacillota; Bacilli; Caryophanales; Staphylococcaceae
Description: partial 16S ribosomal RNA
Rfam family: Bacterial small subunit ribosomal RNA
Source: RNAcentral